AUUAAAAUCAACGUCCAAAGCGUUGCUGCUGUUUGUCAGUACUGUGAGAAAAGGUCCUGGUCGAAGAAGCCCGGAUGCUAAAAUAAACUCUGAUGCUGCUUUUUUGUCGUCAAUGAAGAGGUCUGUGUGCUAAAACAAACUCUGGAGCUGCUUUUUGUCGAACGCGAAUGAGACUGGACGCUGAACACACGUGCGGCGCGAAGGUGUCACCACUUUGUCCGCAACAUCGUCCACUAUCGCUGAGACAUGGUCCAUGUUCAGAGAGACGUUGCUGAGGAUGAAGAAGACAUAGUCCUGACCCUUGUAAAAGAUGACAGAGAUGUUGUCCAUGAUCAGAGACAUUGUCCAUGCUUCAUAGAGACCUGCGCAAGAAUCGGCGGAGACUGGACCAGGACAUAGACCUCCAGGAGGAGAAGACGACAGCAGCUGAAGACCUGACGUGGAUGAAAGAAAACAAAGUGUUACAAAGCUGUAAUUAGAUAAAAGACAUCCACCAUCUAACUGCUGUAAACAGUGCUGGUUUCCUGUUGUUCAAGUGAAAACACUUUGUUUUUCUCUACCAUCUGUAAUGUAGUCAUGGGCACAUUUUCCAAAGACUUUAUUAAACACCUGAGAAUAUUCAGCAGCUUUUGUUACAACUGUUAAAUAACUGUAUCACAAUAGUUAAAUAAUCACAAAGAUAUUCAUAGACAUGUUCCUCUUUGGAAAAUGUGCUCAUAACUACAAUAACCCUAACUCUGUCCAGCUCUAACAAAUAAAAUAAAGUGUCUGUCUACAUUUUUGAGUUGCAUUUUAAGAAGAAAAAUUAUGAUUCUCCUGUUUUAGACCUAUUUUUAAACAUUUUGAAAUUCUAUUUUUUUACCGUUCUGUAUUUAUUUUUUAUGGUUUUAUACUUAACUUUUACAAGGUUUGACACUUAUUGUUAACACAUAUAGUUUUUAGAGUUUUUAAUUAAUUUUCCAAAAGUUUCAUACUUUUUUUUUUUUUUUUUUAAGACUUAUAGGUUAAGGUUUUGUACCUAACUUGUUUAAAUUUAUUUUGUACAGGUUUCAUACUUAAUUAUUAGACCUAUUUUCAAAGGUUUUAGAUAUAGAAAUACUUUUUAAGUCUAUGUAAAGCAGUUAUACCAAUGGCAUUCUGAGUUAGUCACAUUAAAUUUUUUGAAGAUUGGUUUUAUACUUAAUAUGUAAAGGUUUUCAAUUAACCAAUUUAUUUGUACGUUUAUUAAAAGGGUUUUUAUUCUAUUCUAAACUAAGGUUUUAUAUUUUCUGAUUCUAAAUAUGUAUAUAGUUUUACAUAUUUUUAAACUUGCUUUAUGCAGCUACAUUGUUGAAAAUACUAAUUACAACUGAUAAGUUACAGCAGCUUUAAUUUGUUGCUAUUUGUUCCAGACAAGAGUUGGACAAACUGUAGCUGAGAUAAUGACAGAGUUAGACUGAAAAGAAUAAACUA
Molecule: long non-coding RNA, 1452 nt
Organism: Lates calcarifer (barramundi perch)
Lineage: Eukaryota; Metazoa; Chordata; Actinopteri; Centropomidae
Exons: 3
Source: RefSeq, a predicted model, not a curated record